UACGUAGGGUCCGAGCGUUGUCCGGAGUUAUUGGGCGUAAAGAGCUCGUAGGCGGCUUGUCGCGUCGUCCGUGAAAACCUGCGGCUCAACUGCAGGCUGGCGGUCGAUACGGGCAGGCUGGAGUUCGGUAGGGGAGACUGGAAUUCCUGGUGUAGCGGUGAAAUGCGCAGAUAUCAGGAGGAACACCGGUGGCGAAGGCGGGUCUCUGGGCCGAUACUGACGCUGAGGAGCGAAAGCGUGGGGAGCGAACAGG
RNAcentral lists this ribosomal RNA (253 nucleotides) under uncultured bacterium. RNAcentral describes it as "partial 16S ribosomal RNA". It matches the Rfam family "Bacterial small subunit ribosomal RNA", at positions 524 to 776 of the family's 1533-position model. The record is from RNAcentral.